RNAcentral lists this long non-coding RNA (561 nucleotides) under Bos indicus x Bos taurus (hybrid cattle). RNAcentral describes it as "lncRNA (ENSBIXG00000015017.1)". Lineage: Eukaryota; Metazoa; Chordata; Mammalia; Artiodactyla; Bovidae. The record is from RNAcentral.
UUUGUGUCUCUGUGUGUAAGUUCAUUUUGUCACUUUCUUGGGAUCCUGUAUGUCUUGUUCUAGGUAUGUCUUGUAGCAUUAUUCACUGCAUGAAGAUGUAGCACAUGUGACCAUCGAAGCCUACAAGAAAUAACAAGGAGUUCUCACAGGUAUCUUUUUGCUCUAUAGACAGACAACGUCCCCAGAGGAAGGAAGAUCUGAGUGUGGCUUGCUGCUCCUGGGGAAUAAAUGUCAGCCUUGGUGCAGCACCUGGGGUAGCCAAAAACUCACAAUCUUUGGGACAUACCCAUUUCCAGAAAGCUUCAGAGACAGACAAUGCCAGAGAGGAAGGAAGAUCUGAGUGUGGCCUGCUGCCCCCAGGCCAGUCGAUGUGUCUUGGUCUAGAAUCUGGGGUAGGCAGACUCUCGUCCCGUGGGGCAUACUCAUUUCCAGAAAGCAUCAGAGAUAAGCUAACUCAAGUCCCUGUGCGUAGAUGCAAUGAGUGGGAAGUGCAUUGUUUGGCAUGAUGAAUUGAAUGCAUAUAGUCCUGAAGAGAGAUGAUGACCCAAAAGUCAUGCUCAG